GUGCUUCGUGUCUGUCAAACAGCGAGGAAUUGUUCAGGGGCAGCAACCCAAGAUUCUGAGGCGUUGCGCUGCAUGGUAUGGGUGCUCGUAUGGGAUGCAAUUCUUUUGGGAGCUGCGAAACCCUACUUAGCACAGUCUUACUGAGCCUGUCCGGCGGGAUGGCGGGGCUGCUGCAAAAGGGAAUGUUAAGAGAUAUUCCAAACGAAGCUAUAAGUAAACGGUAGGUUUAUGUAUUGCCCUGUAGUGCAACUGGAAAAAGAAAACUCUGUCUACAGAUAAGACUGUUCGCAAAACCUGGAAGUUCGGCAAAUUGAGGUAACAUCAUUAGCGCAGCUCAACAUACCACUACAUGCGUCGUUAAAAG
RNAcentral lists this long non-coding RNA (364 nucleotides) under Volvox carteri. Its description in RNAcentral is "long non-coding RNA (VCAR_LNC002150)". Lineage: Eukaryota; Viridiplantae; Chlorophyta; Chlorophyceae; Chlamydomonadales; Volvocaceae. The record is from RNAcentral.